This 524-nucleotide ribosomal RNA is filed under the name uncultured eukaryote. RNAcentral's name for it is "SSU rRNA". It matches the Rfam family "Eukaryotic small subunit ribosomal RNA", at positions 594 to 1123 of the family's 1831-position model. The record is from RNAcentral.
AUAGCGUAUAUUAAAGUUGUUGCAGUUAAAAAGCUCGUAGUUGAACUUCAGACCUGGCUGGGCGGUCUGCCUAACGGUAUGUACUGUCCGGCUGGGUCUUACCUCUUGGUGAGCCGGCAUGCCCUUCACUGGGUGUGUCGGGGAACCAGGACUUUUACCUUGAGAAAAUUAGAGUGUUCAAAGCAGGCUUAUGCCCGAAUACAUUAGCAUGGAAUAAUAAAAUAGGACGUGCGGUUCUAUUUUGUUGGUUUCUAGAGUCGCCGUAAUGAUUAAUAGGGAUAGUUGGGGGCAUUAGUAUUCCGUUGCUAGAGGUGAAAUUCUUGGAUUUACGGAAGACUAACUAUUGCGAAAGCAUUUGCCAAGGAUGUUUUCAUUAAUCAAGAACGAAGGUUAGGGGAUCGAAAACGAUCAGAUACCGUUGUAGUCUUAACAGUAAACUAUGCCGACUAGGGAUCGGGCGAACUCAAUUUGAUGUGUCGCUCGGCACCUUACGAGAAAUCAAAGUCUUUGGGUUCUGGGGGGAG